This 425-nucleotide ribosomal RNA is filed under the name uncultured bacterium. RNAcentral's name for it is "partial 16S ribosomal RNA". It matches the Rfam family "Bacterial small subunit ribosomal RNA", at positions 354 to 796 of the family's 1533-position model. The record is from RNAcentral.
GUGGGGAAUCUUAGACAAUGGGCGCAAGCCUGAUCUAGCCAUGCCGCGUGAGCGAUGAAGGCCUUAGGGUUGUAAAGCUCUUUCGCUGGGGAAGAUAAUGACUGUACCCAGUAAAGAAGCCCCGGCUAACUCCGUGCCAGCAGCCGCGGUAAUACGGAGGGGGCUAGCGUUGUUCGGAAUUACUGGGCGUAAAGCGCGCGUAGGCGGAUUGGAAAGUUGGGGGUGAAAUCCCGGGGCUCAACCUCGGAACUGCCUUCAAAACUCCCAGUCUUGAGUUCGAGAGAGGUGAGUGGAAUUCCGAGUGUAGAGGUGAAAUUCGUAGAUAUUCGGAGGAACACCAGUGGCGAAGGCGGCUCACUGGCUCGAUACUGACGCUGAGGUGCGAAAGCGUGGGGAGCAAACAGGAUUAGAUACCCGAGUAGUCC